Polistes dominula (European paper wasp) is the source of this 625-nucleotide long non-coding RNA. Lineage: Eukaryota; Metazoa; Arthropoda; Insecta; Hymenoptera; Vespidae. The record is from RefSeq and is a predicted model, not a curated record.
UUCUACGACCACCACCACGAGUAUCAGCAGCGAGAGAGUAUCAAACCUACCACUAUUAGCAUCGGUUACCACUACCGUUGAGUUCUUCUUUGAAUACGAGGUUGGUACGAAGCAACGUUUUACCGAUGGUCCAGACCGUUCUAUUUAAUCUCAAUCAAUACGUCGAAUCGAUCUUAAGUUAAUCGAUUUAUCUAUCGUGCGUGACAUUUUUUCAAAUCAUCCACGUCGCGAUUGAUUUUGUUAUUGAAGAAGUAUAUUACAUAAAGAGACAUAUUUUAUUGGUCAGUUAACGAACUUACACGAGUGCGUAUCUUUCCUCUGUGUUUGAGUGUGUGAGUGUUAGUUGUGUACGUGUGUGCGUAAGAACACGCGCACUUGCGCGCAAUAGAACAUACCUGCGCUUUUCGGAGAACGACGAAAUAUAUCAAGAAAGAAUUACUGGAACGAAGAUAAUAUUAUCUUACGUAAAUCCCAAGCAGGGGGAGCCAAGGACAAAAUCGAUUCACGUUUGAUCAAGGCAAAAAUAAAAAAUAAUCAAGAAGAAGAAGAAGAAGAAGGAGAAAAAGGAGAAAAAUAAAGAAAAGGAAAUAGCCAAGAGUGAAAGUUUAAGUUUGCCUUUCAUUUA